CUACGUGCCAGCAGCCGCGGUAAUACGGAAGGUUCGGGCGUUAUCCGGAUUUAUUGGGUUUAAAGGGAGCGUAGGCCGGAGAUUAAGUGUGUUGUGAAAUGUAGACGCUCAACGUCUGACUUGCAGCGCAUACUGGUUUCCUUGAGUACGCACAACGUUGGCGGAAUUCGUCGUGUAGCGGUGAAAUGCUUAGAUAUGACGAAGAACUCCGAUUGCGAAGGCAGCUGACGGGAGCGCAACUGACGCUGAAGCUCGAAGGUGCGGGUAUCGAACAGGAUUAGAUACCCUGGUAGUCCGCACAGUAAACGAUGGAUGCCCGCUGUUAGCGCCUGGCGUUAGCGGCUAAGCGAAAGCAUUAAGCAUCCCACCUGGGGAGUACGCCGGCAACGGUGAAACUCAAAGGAAUUGACGGGGGCCCGCACAAGCGGAGGAACAUGUGGUUUAAUUCGAUGAUACGCGAGGAACCUUACCCGGGCUUGAAUUGCAGAGGAAUUAUUUAGAGAUA
Molecule: ribosomal RNA, 505 nt
Filed under: uncultured bacterium
Lineage: Bacteria
Description: bacterial SSU rRNA
Rfam family: Bacterial small subunit ribosomal RNA
Source: RNAcentral